Neodiprion virginianus is the source of this 460-nucleotide long non-coding RNA. RefSeq lists it as uncharacterized. The transcript is spliced from 3 exons. NCBI's taxonomy places the organism in Eukaryota, Metazoa, Arthropoda, Insecta, Hymenoptera, Diprionidae. The record is from RefSeq and is a predicted model, not a curated record.
GUGGGAUAGGAAGGGCAGGAGCUCGGUUGGCUCUGAAGCACGGUCUAGCGUUUUCCACUGGUUGCACUGAGUGCGCACUGCUCGAACAGGGGGCACUCGUUCCGUGCAUACGUCGCCCGGCAUCGGGGCAAACCUGAGUGGAACACGCCGUAAAACGUAUAAAGGCAGACUGGAUCAUAAUUUCUUCUAAAUCAGAAAUAAUGUGACGUUACUUGACCGACUGCGCGACUGGCAGUUUUUCAAGUAUCACCCGAGGUGGUUAGCGGUGGUCGUUGGAGGAGGUUGGCGGUGGUUGGCGGUGGUCGGAGGUGGUUAGGGGUGGUUGCGGGUGAUCGAAGUGGACGAGGAGGAGGAGGACGAGGAAGCCGAGGAGAACGGGGAUUUCUGCAUGGCGAGCGAAACACAUUUAUAUAUUUGAUAGCAAUUGUAUCACCCGAGGUGGUCGGAGGUGGACGAGGAG